GUGCUAACUUCAGCAGCACAUAUUGGAAUGGUAAGAGAAAUUAGCACAGCCCCUGUGCAAGGCUGACAUGAAAAUGUGUAAAGCAUUCCAUUUUUAA
Small nuclear RNA from Nomascus leucogenys (northern white-cheeked gibbon), 97 nucleotides. The record is from Ensembl. NCBI's taxonomy places the organism in Eukaryota, Metazoa, Chordata, Mammalia, Primates, Hylobatidae.